UGUCAAGUCGGAUGUGAAAUCCCCGGGCUCAACCUGGGAACUGCAUCCGAAACUGGCAGGCUAGAGUCUUGUAGAGGGGGGUAGAAUUCCAGGUGUAGCGGUGAAAUGCGUAGAGAUCUGGAGGAAUACCGGUGGCGAAGGCGGCCCCCUGGACAAAGACUGACGCUCAGGUGCGAAAGCGUGGGGAGCAAACAGGAUUAGAUACCCUGGUAGUCCACGCCGUAAACGAUGUCGACUUGGAGGUUGUGCCCUUGAGGCGUGGCUUCCGGAGCUAACGCGUUAAGUCGACCGCCUGGGGAGUACGGCCGCAAGGUUAAAACUCAAAUGAAUUGACGGGGGCCCGCACAAGCGGUGGAGCAUGUGGUUUAAUUCGAUGCAACGCGAAGAACCUUACCUAC
RNAcentral lists this ribosomal RNA (398 nucleotides) under Citrobacter freundii. RNAcentral's name for it is "bacterial SSU rRNA". It matches the Rfam family "Bacterial small subunit ribosomal RNA", at positions 581 to 978 of the family's 1533-position model. Lineage: Bacteria; Pseudomonadati; Pseudomonadota; Gammaproteobacteria; Enterobacterales; Enterobacteriaceae. The record is from RNAcentral.